CUGAUUCAUAUAUUUGUGUAAGUGAAUUUAUUUUAACAAUACUUAUCAUCAGUAACAUGCACUAAGCAUGUCCAUUAUCCAUACAAAUCUCUACUAAAAAUCUUAACUAAUAGACCAAUUUGACCCGAUCAUUCGUCAGCGACAGAAUUAAUGCGACUUUCUGUCGGACAGAGCUAACAUGAUCUACGUACAUCUUUCACAAACGCGAUCUGACUCAUAUAUUUGUUUAAGUAAAUAGCAUUUUUUUAUCUAACAGGCAGAACGCUUUUUACUUCAAUAUUUACCAAGCGAAUUAACGUCUAAGUGAAUCACUGAUCGCAAUUAGUGCGCAGUGUUUCCUUUGAAUGAUGAUUCAUGGCCGAACACAUGAACACAUUACGCGAUACUACAAUUUGUUUUGAGUGUAAAUAAAAAGCAACAAAAAAUCUUUUACGCCAAUCAAAUUAAGAGAAUUCGAUCUGUAUGUAGCCUCUGCGGGAUCUGGUAACCGCUUAACCACAGAAGAGGCUACCGACGGAUAGACGAAACGACGCGACCAAUCUUGCUUCGAGUGGGCGCGUUGCAAAACUUAGGAUUCUAUGACAUUGCAGUACCUGCUAAGGAAUCCUUGGCUUAAAUGGCGGCCGACGUGACCGAAGCAAUCGUGAUUGUGAUUCACAGCGUAAAUAAAACCAAAAAAAAAAAAAAAGAUAACUGAUAAAACGAUUAACACUUGCUCUAUCACUAUAAUCGCUUAAUAUGUUGAAAGUCCAUUACGUAUUUAUUAAUCUGUUAAUAGAAUAAUAAAACCGAUCUCGUCAAAUAUUAUAUCUACUUUCACCGUGUUACGAAACCGGUUAAUACUGGUCUUGUUCGUUUGACAUCGUACAGUACGAAGAAAACUUUUUAAUUCUUUAUAAAUUGACUAUAUUAUACCUAUGUUUUUUUCGCCCUACUUAUUCGCUGGAAGCCUAAGAGGCUAUUCCCGCUAGGUCCGGACGUGGUAGGUGAGCUUACGGGCUCAAUCAGGCGGAUUUUGGUAUGACUAGCCCUAGCAAGAGCAGUGCUUCGCAGAGUCUACCACCGGAUCGAAAUCGCGACCCACUGAGAAGAUCCGGCGAAAAACUCAGUGGGCUAUAUACCUAUACCAAUACACACACUUUAUGCACUACGCGAUAAAUAUAUAAUACUAUUCCGUUUAUUUUUAAUGCAAGAUCAACAUUUAGAUUUAAUUCGGGAUAAAGUAAUAAGUAUUUGUUUAAUAUUAUUUUUUUCAAAAAAAUAGCCGUUCUUGGUUAUGGUGAUGGUAUACUUUAUCGUUAAUAUAGAAUCAUUCAUUGUGUGACUACGCGCUAUUAAGUUUUCCUUUGUAUUUAAAUACAAUUAUCUGAUAAAACCGAUGUAAUUUUCCCGAUAAGCUAGUAACAUUAUAUUAGUAUCAAAUAAUAUCAACAUAUUUUUCCAAUAACUUCUAGUAAAAAAUCAGACAUACUUCAAGACCUUCAUUAUUAAUUACGGUAAUAUUAUGUUACUUUGAACACAAUCUAAUUCAGACACAACAAGUCGAUUAAAAUCUAUACCUACGUAUAUGUUAGUUCGGCUACGUAUGUUUUAUUACGACACGCAAUUCGCCUCUAUUAUUAUUGUGUGAACCUCCCGGGCUCUACUGUUUCAUCACGAAGUAAACAAUUCACAUGAGUCACGUUUUUUUUUUUUCUAAUUACAAUACGAUGCACGACGUCUCUACUCUAACACGUCAAUCCGAAUAUAAUAUUUGAUCCGGUAGUUUUAUUUUAUUUUAUUUGAAACUAACGACCCGCCCUUGCUUCGCUUCGGAAACUGUAAUUUAUUAUUGAUCAUAUUGAAUAUUCUCUUAUACAAAUCUGGUCCUGACAGUAACAAACACAAUAAAAAAAGAUCGUAACAAACAAAAAAUCUAAUUCCUCUUCUUAUAUUAAUGGUUCAUUAUUUUGGCGAUAAUGGCUUAGAAAUAAAAGGUAGAUAUUAUGCUGUCAAGGGCUAGGAUUAUUUGAGAUAAAAAUUUCAAUUUUACAAUAAAUACGUGUCAAUCCAACAGUUUUUGCGGCGCACGCAAAAAUAGCUCGCAGAUGGUAGAUCUUUUUUCCUUUUCAUUUGAUACUUAUCGUUAUAUUUUGGGUAAUUAACACUAUAUUUUUAUAAAUUACUAGCUGUACCCGUCCGCUUCCCGGGUCAUUUAAAAUUAACAUUAUUAUUUCUCACCCCCAUAAAGAUUCUCAUCAUUAACGCCCCCGCAACUGGUUUAGGGAGUCCAACACUCAUAUAAAUAUUAACCUAUCCAUUAAGUACAUGUAGUUUCUACAUGGAUACCAAGUUUCAAGUCAAUCGGAUGCAUGGUUCAGUAGUUAUAACGGAAUAUCCGUAAAAACCACAUAUUAGUUUUUUUUUUUUUUUUUAUAACAACUAAGAGGCAAACGAGCAAGACGGGUCACCUGAUGGUAAGUGAUUCACCGCCGCCCACGGUCACCAGCGUUUACGCCAGUGCGUUGCCUACCCUUCAGGUAAGAGUAUGUAGUAUAGAUACCCUAUGUGUUAUUUUGAUGUUUAAGCUUAGUGUCAUAUUUAUUUAAUCCGAAUCCACGACCUAAAAAAUAAGUUUCAAGCUUUUAGCUCUUUCUAGGAACUUUACUACGUCCCCUAAUUUCUUUCGAUUUCGUAUCCCCGUCCACAUUUCUCCUGGAAAACAAUCCAAGUUGGUCAAAAUCAAAGUUCCAAUGCAAUUGGAAUAUUAACUUGAUUGACAUAAGGUGUCAUUUACGUUAUGUUAUCUCCGCUAACCAAUUUAUAUCAAAUGGACCGCGAGCACGUCUCACUAUCUCAGCUAAUAACAAUUGCAUGCCGAUUCGUUAUCAGCAGCUAUGACAUCAUGAAUGGGUUAAUAAACGGCACGUUAUAAUAUGUUACCAUGUAGUCCACAACAUGUGCAUUAUUAUCGAGUGCGCGUGCAUGCAGGUGUACAUAACAGUGUAAUUAGAGCGGGUGGAGGCAGCGGUGUCGCCUUAAAUCGUACCACAAAUGUACAGGGUGUAAUUUUGGGAGGCUGUAUACAAGCGACAAGAUAAUAUUUAAGCCCACUGAGUUUCUCGCCGGAUCUUCUCCGUGAAUACCGUCUCCGAUCCGGUGGUAGAUUCUACGAGGCACUGCUCUUACUAGGGCCAGUGUUAGCAACACUACCGGUUUGAGCCCCAUGAGCUCACCUACACGUCAAGGUGAAGGUGAAAUAGCCUCUCAAGGUAAUCAGCAUAGGUAGGAAAAAAUAUAUUUACACAUUUUAAUGGUUUGCAAGUUUAUGAUUUAAAAAAAGUUCAUAUAUUUACUACACAAUGUAUCUAUCAUAAAUAGUAAGAUAGCACUAUUCGUUGAAUCUACGAUUUACUUGAGUUAAACGUUUUGUUGCUCGGGAUAGAUUCAUUUUCCAAGUGGAACUAUAAACGUAUACAUCGAUUUUACUUUUUAAUUUUUCCCUACUUAUUCGCUAGUAGCUUAAGAAACUAUUCCAGCUUCGCGCGGACUCGAACGCGAAACUCAAUAAGGGUUGUGUCUAUAGGUUAAUACAUCGGAUACGUGGUACGUCAGAUGUAAAGCCUUCGUCAAACAGAACGCGUAAUUAGCGCGCGUCAGAGCGCUAAACCGACGCCGCGCUAUGACGCCGAGAUGUGUUGUACUACUAUGGUAAAAUACCGUCAAACAGAGAAACCGCGCUAUAAGUACGCAGCGCUCUGUCGCGGCGUUAGGACGCUUUGACGUCAGGCGUUGUAAUUUUUUACAAAUUUUAUGUUAGCGUCCGAGUGAAUGUGUAUUAAAAUACUAGAUAAUGCCCGAAAAAAUUAUAUAAAUAGUUAGAAAAUACCCAUGCUUAUACAAUGCCACAUCUGAAUCACUCGAUUUCUUAAUACUUUUCAAUUUUCACACUGCUAUCGAAAGGCACUAUGAUUUGCCGAAUGCGCUGCGUCAAGGAGCGUUAGACUCAUCUAGUCAAUUUGAAGAGCGCGACGAUAAGUACGCGGCGCUAAGUACGCGUUCUGUUUGACGAAGGCUUAAAGCAACCUAUUUAGCGUUACUAUCUAUACUAAUAUAUAAAUCUACAGUGGUUUUUACGGAUGUUACGCUAUAACUACUGAACCAUGCAUCCCAUUGACUUGAAACUUGGUAUCCAUGUACAAAAUACAUGUACUUAAUGGAUAGGCUAAUAUUUAUAUGAGUGUUGCACUCCCUCAUAAUAAUGACAAUAAAUAAUAAUGUUAAUUUUAAAUGCCCAGCGAAGCGGGCGAGUACGGCUCGUAUUUUAUAUAUAUUAUAGAUUUCUAUACCAGUAUAUUUUAUGUAAUAAAUAAUUUUUA
Long non-coding RNA from Bombyx mori (domestic silkworm), 4358 nucleotides. RefSeq lists it as uncharacterized. NCBI's taxonomy places the organism in Eukaryota, Metazoa, Arthropoda, Insecta, Lepidoptera, Bombycidae. The transcript is spliced from 3 exons. The record is from RefSeq and is a predicted model, not a curated record.